This 51-nucleotide ribosomal RNA is filed under the name Clavaria argillacea. RNAcentral describes it as "partial large subunit ribosomal RNA". Lineage: Eukaryota; Fungi; Basidiomycota; Agaricomycetes; Agaricales; Clavariaceae. The record is from RNAcentral.
GAUCGACCUCAAAUCAGGUAGGACUACCCGCUGAACUUAAGCAUAUCAAUA